Non-coding RNA from Mycena capillaripes, 86 nucleotides. The record is from the annotation of a GenBank genome assembly. NCBI's taxonomy places the organism in Eukaryota, Fungi, Basidiomycota, Agaricomycetes, Agaricales, Mycenaceae.
GACUUUGAUAGUUCAGUGGUAGCACAUCCUCCUUAAAUUGCAAGUUGUUUCAAUGCAAAUCUCUCGUUCGAUCCGGGAUCAGGCCA